Molecule: ribosomal RNA, 455 nt
Filed under: Morganella morganii
Lineage: Bacteria; Pseudomonadati; Pseudomonadota; Gammaproteobacteria; Enterobacterales; Morganellaceae
Description: bacterial SSU rRNA
Rfam family: Bacterial small subunit ribosomal RNA
Source: RNAcentral
CCUACGGGGGGCAGCAGUGAGGAAUAUUGGUCAAUGGGCGAAAGCCUGAACCAGCCAUGCCGCGUGCAGGAUGACUGCCCUAUGGGUUGUAAACUGCUUUUAUACAGGAAUAAACCCCCGGACGUGUCCGGGGCUGAAGGUACUGUAAGAAUAAGGAUCGGCUAACUCCGUGCCAGCAGCCGCGGUAAUACGGAGGAUCCAAGCGUUAUCCGGAUUCAUUGGGUUUAAAGGGUCCGCAGGCGGGGUAUUAAGUCAGUGGUGAAAGCCGGCAGCUUAACUGUCGAAUUGCCAUUGAUACUGGUACUCUUGAGUGUAGUUGAAGUAGGCGGAAUAAGUCAUGUAGCGGUGAAAUGCAUAGAUAUGACUUAGAACACCGAUUGCGAAGGCAGCUUACUAAGCUAUUACUGACGCUCAUGGACGAAAGCGUGGGGAGCGAACAGGAUUAGAUACCCUUG